This 71-nucleotide transfer RNA is filed under the name Yasminevirus sp. GU-2018. It matches the Rfam family "tRNA". Rfam says of the family: Transfer RNA (tRNA) molecules are approximately 80 nucleotides in length. Their secondary structure includes four short double-helical elements and three loops (D, anti-codon, and T loops). Further hydrogen bonds mediate the characteristic L-shaped molecular structure. tRNAs have two regions of fundamental functional importance: the anti-codon, which is responsible for specific mRNA codon recognition, and the 3' end, to which the tRNAs corresponding amino acid is attached (by aminoacyl-tRNA synthetases). tRNAs cope with the degeneracy of the genetic code in two manners: having more than one tRNA (with a specific anti-codon) for a particular amino acid; and 'wobble' base-pairing, i.e. permitting non-standard base-pairing at the 3rd anti-codon position. Lineage: Varidnaviria; Bamfordvirae; Nucleocytoviricota; Megaviricetes; Imitervirales; Mimiviridae. The record is from Rfam by way of RNAcentral.
AUCGUCAUAGAUUAGUGGUAGAUCGCGAGGCUCAUAAUCUCGAGGCAUUGGUUCAAUUCCAAUUGACGGUA